Harpia harpyja (harpy eagle) is the source of this 1344-nucleotide long non-coding RNA. RefSeq lists it as uncharacterized. Lineage: Eukaryota; Metazoa; Chordata; Aves; Accipitriformes; Accipitridae. The transcript is spliced from 2 exons. The record is from RefSeq and is a predicted model, not a curated record.
GAUGAGUACUAUAAAAAAAUGAAAGCCAGAAGUAAAACAUCUAAGAACUGUGAUGUAAAUAUCCUACUUUCCUAGUAUAUCUUACACUACAAUGUCAAUGAUACAGUGACGUGCUAUUUAGUAACACAAAGCAAUAAAAUACAAUUGAUGGGGAGGACAUUUUAAUUACCAGCAUUCAGGCCGAGUAUUAUUGUGAAUCUCCUAUAAAACCUGUACUCCCAAGUUAUGAACUGAUUUUUACUAAGUGAUAUAAUUAAACUAAAAACAUUACGCACAAACUGUUAUGAUACCCAGGUGAUCAAAGGUAAAGCAGUUAUUUACAUUACAUUACUGUUCUCCCCUCAGACCAAACAAAUAAUUUAGAACAAUUUAGUUGAGAGGAAAGUAGUGAAGUGGAUAUGGGGUAUAGUGCAUUAAGAUGAAAGAAAAAUAUAAGGAAAAUGUAGAUAUGCUUUCACAGUGCUGGAAGCAUUAUAAGAAAAGGAGCAGGAGUAUGUGUUGUAUUUACAGGGGAUAAAAAUAGAGUGUACUACUAACAGAAAGGUGAGCUAUAAACAAUAUGAGAGGUUAGGCAAAGCAAACAAAAUGCAAGAGAAGACAAAAGAGCAAAGUAAAAUUAGAAAGAAAAAUAACCAUGCCAUUGCUUCAACAAAGUUGAAAGACACCCCCCACCCCACGCCUUUUUUUUCAUGGUGGACUCCAUACAAAUAAAAAGAUACAGUUCUGUGCCCAAAAGCCAUGCAAUCCCGCAUGAAGUCCAAGGCAACAGACAAAGUGAAUGUAGUUCAAGAAAGGUAUAGCGUAAUGGUGAUACACUCACAUCGUUUUAUGUAUUGUGGUACAUCAGUUGCUUGAACUGAAAUUCUUAAACUAUUGUUUUAAAACUUGACUCUAGAUGAAAAUGUGAGAAGGAUGGUGAUAAACUUCAGCAAAGCCAGCAGACGCUGGGACAGGUUGCCCAGAGAGGCUGCGGAUCCGCUAUCCCCGGAGGUUUUCAGCACCCAACUUGUAAAAGCCCUGAGCACCCUGAUGUGAAUUCAGUGCAACCUUGCUUUAGGCAAAAACUUGGACUAGAGACCUCCUGUAGGCCCUCCAGCCACAGAACAGCGUGGAAGACCUAGCCCAAGUUAGCUGGGAAAUGACUUACGAUUUUACUUGACCUGGAAGAUCAGUGAUCUUUGGAAGGUUUAAGGCCUCCCGAAUCAACAAGUGUAAGAAGCAAAGGACAGGUCAUGCUCAUAUUGAAGUCACUGACAUAAUUUCUUACUGCUUCAGUGGAAUCAACUGUACCACCAGUAACUGAGGAAAAAUAAGUAAAAUGCAAUAAUAAUUUUCUUACUGGAA